GAGUUAUGUUCCUAGGAGGACUGUGGCUAUCUCUACUGUGUCAUGCAGGUUGUCAGGGAAGUGGGGGAUAGCCAGCAGUUACAGACCUCACCCAGCUCCUGUACAACCCAGAGUGCCAGUCUUACUCCCAACAGCACCAAUCCUGUUUCCAGGCAGUGGGUGAGCAGGGCUAAGAACUUGCCCCAGGCUACCUGCCUCCCAGCUGCGAAAGCAAGUAUGGAUUUCCUUCUUCCCCAGUCAGUGGAAUCUGCACACUGGAUUCACACCCUUCCCCAAGUUCUGACCAGGAGGCUUCUUGAUCAGUUCAAAUUGUUACAAUGUUCAGCUGGAAAUUUCCUUCUCCCUGUGGCCUUUUCCCAGUGCCUCUGGCAGCCCUCCCAAAGGAUUCCUGUGAAGCCAGGCCCCCGCAGCUCUCAGAAUGAAGUCUGAAUGCGUCAGCAAAGCACACAACGUUCUUCACCACUUGCCUUCAGCCUGAUUUUCCAGGCUUACUUCCAAACCUUGCAGGUCUCCUCCCCUGGUUUCCUAGAACUAUUCACUCUCCUCUGAAAGCAUGCCCUGCCCUUCCCCUUGCCUUUGCCCAUGUGGUCUUGUGCCCGGAAAACUUUUCAGCUCUCAGAUAACAUGGCAGCUCCUCCUCUCAGCACCACGUCCUGCCUACUCCUUUGGGUGAACUGCUACCCAGUGUCUCAGGGGCCCCCAGGAGACAGUCUGCAAGGGCAAGCCUCCCUCACCAGGCUGCAGUGGUGCCUUCCUUGUCUUUGAAUAAAGCAAGAAAAUGAAAAGUCAUCUGAAUGAGUGAAUGAAUCCUAAUGCAAUAUACU
Molecule: long non-coding RNA, 824 nt
Filed under: Homo sapiens (human)
Lineage: Eukaryota; Metazoa; Chordata; Mammalia; Primates; Hominidae
Description: HSALNT0069699
Source: RNAcentral